AUUUGAUCUAGAGAGAGAGAGAGAGACAGAGAGAGAGAUAGAGGGAAAGCAAAAGAGAGUGCAUGGGUAGAGAGAAAUUGCAUUCGGUUAAAUGGUUUGGACAAAUUUGUUCAUUGCAUUUCCGUGUCAUUUCAUCAGAGAUUCCUUUUUUAGCACAUAGAAGAGAAGCUGCUAUCUCCAUCUCGCUCUCUCUCUCUCUCUCUCUCUCUGAGCUUGUGUAUUUUU
RNAcentral lists this microRNA precursor (225 nucleotides) under Drosophila guanche. The record is from RNAcentral. Lineage: Eukaryota; Metazoa; Arthropoda; Insecta; Diptera; Drosophilidae.